UACGGAGGGCGCAAGCGUUGUUCGGAAUCAUUGGGCGUAAAGCGCGUGUAGGCGGCUUGGCAAGUCGAGUGUGAAAGCCCGGGGCUCAACCCCGGAAGGUCGCUCGAAACUGCCUCGCUAGAGUCCCGGAGAGGAAGGCGGAAUUCCCGGUGUAGAGGUGAAAUUCGUAGAUAUCGGGAGGAACACCAGCGGCGAAGGCGGCCUUCUGGACGGUGACUGACGCUGAGACGCGAAAGCGUGGGGAGCAAACAGG
RNAcentral lists this ribosomal RNA (253 nucleotides) under uncultured bacterium. RNAcentral describes it as "partial 16S ribosomal RNA". It matches the Rfam family "Bacterial small subunit ribosomal RNA", at positions 524 to 776 of the family's 1533-position model. The record is from RNAcentral.